This 324-nucleotide ribosomal RNA is filed under the name uncultured eukaryote. Its description in RNAcentral is "partial 18S ribosomal RNA". It matches the Rfam family "Eukaryotic small subunit ribosomal RNA", at positions 1470 to 1796 of the family's 1831-position model. The record is from RNAcentral.
CCCUUAGAUGUUCUGGGCCGCACGCGCGCUACACUGAUGCAUUCAACGAGUUUCUUCCUGGUCCGAGAGGAAUGGGUAACCUUUUGAAAGUGCAUCGUGAUAGGGAUAGACUAUUGCAAUUAUUGGUCUUCAACGAGGAAUUCCUAGUAGACGUAGUUCAUCAGACUGCAUCGACUACGUCCCUGCCCUUUGUACACACCGCCCGUCGCUCCUACCGAUUGAAUGCUCAGGUGAGCCAUUCGGACUUUCAUCAUGCUGGUUUCCAGUUUUGAUGAAGGAAAGUCUUGCGAACCUUAUCAUUUAGAGGAAGGAGAAGUCGUAACA